RNAcentral lists this ribosomal RNA (413 nucleotides) under uncultured bacterium. RNAcentral describes it as "bacterial SSU rRNA". It matches the Rfam family "Bacterial small subunit ribosomal RNA", at positions 32 to 424 of the family's 1533-position model. The record is from RNAcentral.
AAUCAACGCUGGCGGCGUGCCUCAGACAUGCAAGUCGAACGCGAAAGUCCCCUUCGGGGGGCAAGUAGAGUGGCGCACGGGUGAGUAACACGUAGGUAAUCUACCUUUGGAUGGGGAAUAACAACCGGAAACGGUUGCUAAUACCGCAUAAUGCAGCGGCACCUAAUGGUGACAGUUGUUAAAGCGGGGGAUCGAAAGACCUCGCGUCUGAAGAGGAGCCUGCGGCGGAUUAGCAGUUGGUAAGGUAACGGCUUACCAAGGCAACGAUCCGUAGCCGGCCUGAGAGGGGCGGUCGGCCACACUGACACUGACAUACGGGUCAGACUCCUACGGGAGGCAGCAGUCGGGAAUUUUGGGCAAUGGGCGAAAGCCUGACCCAGNAACGCCGCGUGAAGGAUGAAAUCCCUCGGGAU